This 212-nucleotide long non-coding RNA is filed under the name Mytilus galloprovincialis (Mediterranean mussel). The record is from RNAcentral. Lineage: Eukaryota; Metazoa; Mollusca; Bivalvia; Mytilida; Mytilidae.
UGGCGAUAUUUAAUCCCUAAAAUUCAGUUUACCUGCAGAUUUUGGGCUCAAUACAAAAUCAAGUGACAUUAAAUCUGCAUUAAUACAAAGUACAGACCACCCAAGAUGUUUCUUUUAAAUUACAAAGCGUAACAGCCGAAAGUUAAUGGCCGGGAUGCUGGAAAUUUAAGAAUUCUGUUUUAGAAGAAAAUGAUUUUUGUAAAGAAAUUGGA